RNAcentral lists this ribosomal RNA (468 nucleotides) under uncultured bacterium. RNAcentral's name for it is "partial 16S ribosomal RNA". It matches the Rfam family "Bacterial small subunit ribosomal RNA", at positions 28 to 507 of the family's 1533-position model. The record is from RNAcentral.
GACGAACGCUGGCGGCGUGCUUAACACAUGCAAGUCGAACGGAAAGGCCCUGCUUUUGUGGGGUGCUCGAGUGGCGAACGGGUGAGUAACACGUGAGUAACCUGCCCUUGACUUUAGGAUAACUUCAGGAAACUGGGGCUAAUACCGGAUAGGAGCUCCUGCUGCAUGGUGGUGGUUGGAAAGUUUCGGCGGUUGGGGAUGGACUCGCGGCUUAUCAGCUUGUUGGUGGGGUAGUGGCUUACCAAGGCUUUGACGGGUAGCCGGCCUGAGAGGGUGACCGGCCACAUUGGGACUGAGAUACGGCCCAGACUCCUACGGGAGGCAGCAGUGGGGAAUAUUGCACAAUGGGCGGAAGCCUGAUGCAGCAACGCCGCGUGCGGGAUGACGGCCUUCGGGUUGUAAACCGCUUUCGCCUGUGACGAAGCGUGAGUGACGGUAAUGGGUAAAGAAGCACCGGCUAACUACGUG